UCAGUGGCGAACGGGUGAGUAACACGUGAGCAACCUGCCCCUGACUCUGGGAUAAGCGCUGGAAACGGCGUCUAAUACUGGAUACGAGUAGCGACCGCAUGGUCAGCUACUGGAAAGAUUUAUUGGUUGGGGAUGGGCUCGCGGCCUAUCAGCUUGUUGGUGAGGUAAUGGCUCACCAAGGGCGUCGACGGGUAGCCGGCCUGAGAGGGGUGACCGGCCACCACUGGGACUGAGACACGGCCCAGACUCCUACGGGAGGCAGCAGUGGGGGAAUAUUGCACAAUGGGCGCAAGCCUGAUGCAGCAACGCCGCGUGAGGGAUGACGGCCUUCGGGUUGUAAACCUCUUUUAGCAGGGAAGAAGCGAAAGUGACGGUACCUGCAGAAAAAGCGCCGGCUAACUACGUGCCAGCAGCCGCGGUAAUACGUAGGGCGCAAGCGUUAUCCGGAAUUAUUGGGCGUAAAGAGCUCGUAGGCGGUUUGUCGCGUCUGCUGUGAAAUCCGGAGGCUCAACCUCCGGCCUGCAGUGGGUACGGGCAGACUAGAGUGCGGUAGGGGAGAUUGGAAUUCCUGGUGUAGCGGUGGAAUGCGCAGAUAUCAGGAGGAACACCGAUGGCGAAGGCAGAUCUCUGGGCCGUAACUGACGCUGAGGAGCGAAAGGGUGGGGAGCAAACAGGCUUAGAUACCCUGGUAGUCCACCCCGUAAACGUUGGGAACUAGUUGUGGGGUCCAUUCCACGGAUUCCGUGACGCAGCUAACGCAUUAAGUUCCCCGCCUGGGGAGUACGGCCGCAAGGCUAAAACUCAAAGGAAUUGACGGGGACCCGCACAAGCGGCGGAGCAUGCGGAUUAAUUCGAUGCAACGCGAAGAACCUUACCAAGGCUUGACAUAUACGAGAACGGGCCAGAAAUGGUCAACUCUUUGGACACUCGUAAACAGGUGGUGCAUGGUUGUCGUCAGCUCGUGUCGUGAGAUGUUGGGUUAAGUCCCGCAACGAGCGCAACCCUCGUUCUAUGUUGCCAGCACGUAAUGGUGGGAACUCAUGGGAUACUGCCGGGGUCAACUCGGAGGAAGGUGGGGGAUGACGUCAAAUCAUCAUGCCCCUUAUGUCUUGGGCUUCACGCAUGCUACAAUGGCCGGUACAAAGGGCUGCAAUACCGCGAGGUGGAGCGAAUCCCAAAAAGCCGGUCCCAGUUCGGAUUGAGGUCUGCAACUCGACCUCAUGAAGUCGGAGUCGCUAGUAAUCGCAGAUCAGCAACGCUGCGGUGAAUACGUUCCCGGGUCUUGUACACACCGCCCGUCAAGUCAUGAAAGUCGGUA
RNAcentral lists this ribosomal RNA (1318 nucleotides) under Microbacterium phyllosphaerae. RNAcentral's name for it is "16S ribosomal RNA". It matches the Rfam family "Bacterial small subunit ribosomal RNA", at positions 92 to 1416 of the family's 1533-position model. Lineage: Bacteria; Bacillati; Actinomycetota; Actinomycetes; Micrococcales; Microbacteriaceae. The record is from RNAcentral.